Molecule: ribosomal RNA, 490 nt
Filed under: uncultured bacterium
Lineage: Bacteria
Description: partial 16S ribosomal RNA
Rfam family: Bacterial small subunit ribosomal RNA
Source: RNAcentral
AUUGAACGCUGGCGGCAGGCCUAACACAUGCAAGUCGAACGGUAACAGGAAGAAGCUUGCUUCUUUGCUGACGAGUGGCGGACGGGUGAGUAAUGUCUGGGAAACUGCCUGAUGGAGGGGGAUAACUACUGGAAACGGUAGCUAAUACCGCAUAACGUCGCAAGACCAAAGAGGGGGACCUUCGGGCCUCUUGCCAUCGGAUGUGCCCAGAUGGGAUUAGCUAGUAGGUGGGGUAGCGGCUCACCUAGGCGACGAUCCCUAGCUGGUCUGAGAGGAUGACCAGCCACACUGGAACUGAGACACGGUCCAGACUCCUACGGGAGGCAGCAGUGGGGAAUAUUGCACAAUGGGCGCAAGCCUGAUGCAGCCAUGCCGCGUGUAUGAAGAAGGCCUUCGGGUUGUAAAGUACUUUCAGCGGGGAGGAAGGGAGUAAAGUUAAUACCUUUACUCAUUGACGUUACCCGCAGAAGAAGCACCGGCUAACUCCGUG